Molecule: long non-coding RNA, 1189 nt
Organism: Harpegnathos saltator (Jerdon's jumping ant)
Lineage: Eukaryota; Metazoa; Arthropoda; Insecta; Hymenoptera; Formicidae
Exons: 2
Source: RefSeq, a predicted model, not a curated record
AGAGAGAGAGAGAGAGAGAGAGAGAGAGAGAGAGAGAGAGAGAGAGAGAACAGUCGGGCCAUUCGCGCGCUAAUUCGACUUGGACGAGGGAUAACGACUGGUCGACGACUCCUGAUCGAUCAAUCGGUCCUCGGGAGGUACGAGUGCGCGCGACUUUCCGGGGGAAGACACAAUUCAUUCGAUCGCGGAGGACCUCGGGGUUGGACCGCCUCCCCGAAAGUCCGGUCGGCGCGAUCGUUGCGGGCAGAGAGACGGCCUGAAAGAGGUCAGAAGGGCCGGUGGCGACGCGCUCAGCAACAAGUUGCAGAGACUAAAGUUAAUAAACGAGCCCUCGAAGAAGCGUCUUACGGAUGCCCUUAAGCCUUCCUCAGUUCAUCGAUCUUCGCGCCACCGCGCCGGGCUUUUCUCGUUUCGUCGAGAUCACGAUGGAGAGCGACGCGGAAGAAACUCGUGCACGCUCCAUCGCGAGAAUCCUUCCUGCGAUCUUGCCGGACGGCAAAAUUAUUUUCGAACGACGCACGCAAACUUCACGCCCGAAUCCUGCCGGAGUCCGCUUCGCGGGCAGGAGAGAAGCGAGACGGAGUGGUCGCGACUCGAAAUGGAAAAGCGAAGACCCGGCGAUUCGUGGUCGACGUAGCGUACGCUCCGCGGCGGCCCUAUCUUAUUUUAGCGCAGGCCAGUGAAACGCAGGAAUGUCGGCUGUUAUCUUAUCUACGCCGUCCGUAGAUUAGAUAACGAAAGGCCCCAUGGGUCGUCGGGCCGAUUUGCUCGCGCCUGCGAGCGAGAGAAAUGUUUGGUCGGGUGAAUGAAUUUUCUCGUCAAGCACGAACGGUUCGGCGAGUCAAACUGGCAGAUAUCGGAAUUUCGCUCGAGUUAAUCAGCAAUCCUGCGCACUAAAAAAGAAAAUAUUCUAUUUGUAAAGUGACUUUUCCCAUAGUCUUAUAUUCCAAGCGAAGCCUUCUGCAGGAGAAGGAUUCCUCUUUCUCGACGAAACGAUUAAAUUGUUUCGUCAUAAACGAAGCUCCAGAAUUUUGGGAUAAAAUUAACUUAAAGACAUACUGGUCCAUGUUCCAGCGUAAGUACAUACAUAUACGUCUGUUUAUCAUAUCGCGUUGUAUACCACAUCAAAUGCCAUUUAGAGUACUUAAAAUUACAAAUUUAUGUUUUUUCCUACUUUUUCAGCAGAAAG